ACUGUACCGCCAGACUUAGUCUAUUCUUAGCUUUAAGCUUUUUAGGACUUUCUGGCUUACGGAAAAUACUAAAUUGUUAUUACAUGUCAAUAAAAUCAGAGUUUUUAAAAAUUGAGUUUUAAACAUUUGCGACAUGUAUUUUGAUGCAGUGGAUCAUUUACAAUUCAAAAGUCGAUUUAACAUUUUUUAGGUGUUACGCCAUUUUUGCAUUUCAGAUAACGAUAUGAUGUACAUCAAUAAUAUAGAAACAAAUAUAGUUGCACUUUUAUAAAAAGAACUGGACACAUUUUUUCCAAUACGUAUAAGGAAUGCAAUAAUAUGUCUGUUUGUUAGUUGUCUACAUAAAAUGCAUGCAGCCGUUCAAUAGAUUGUGUGUGGUGGUCGAUAUUUUAUUUCAAACUUACCCGUCGUUGUAACAGGAUGAACCAUUUGCAGCUGUAGAAAUAACAACACAGUGCAAAAAAUAUAAAUUUUAAACUCUAUUUUAAAAUUUAACAUAUUUUGGUUUGGUUCUAUUUUUACGUAUAAAUUAACAAGAUAUUUUUUUAUAAAUUUUUAUGUAAAUAAAUUAAGAAAAUUUUUAAUAUGUAUUAAAUGAACCAAAAAAACUGAAAUGGAAAUGUGUACGUGUAGAAAAGUUCUUGUAUUGAAGCUGUUACUUUUUUGUUUUUAAAGAAAAACUAAAGAAAAAUCAACAAAAAAUAAAAAUAAAACAAUUCACGCAUUUAUCUCUAACAAUAUGUACGACACUAUCAAUACAACUAGUCUGGCUGUCUCUUACCCAAGUGGAUAGAUGUCGCCGGUGCACUAAGAUAAAAAAUUAUUAUAUGGCUUAUGAACAACAAUCGUAAAUUAUUGUCAUCAGUCUAGUAUAUAGUAUUUAUUUUUAUAAGACCAUCAUCACAUUAUGAGCAGCACAGCAACAACAUUCCGCCUUGGCAGACAGACAGACAAACUAAUGUGGUGACCGAGCACACAGGCUGUCGAAAAUAUUGCUGCCACAUAUAACAAAUAAAUAUUUUUAUUUGAAGUUCAAUAUCAUAUUCUAAGCAUACAUUUGUCUUUUUAAUUUUAUUUAAAAUAAUAUUUAUAAUAAUUGAAAAUAUGCCUUA
Molecule: long non-coding RNA, 1112 nt
Organism: Lucilia cuprina (Australian sheep blowfly)
Lineage: Eukaryota; Metazoa; Arthropoda; Insecta; Diptera; Calliphoridae
Exons: 2
Source: RefSeq, a predicted model, not a curated record